Molecule: ribosomal RNA, 253 nt
Filed under: uncultured bacterium
Lineage: Bacteria
Description: partial 16S ribosomal RNA
Rfam family: Bacterial small subunit ribosomal RNA
Source: RNAcentral
UACGUAGGGUGCAAGCGUUAUCCGGAAUUAUUGGGCGUAAAGAGCUCGUAGGCGGUUUGUCGCGUCUGCUGUGAAAACUGGAGGCUCAACCUCCAGCCUGCAGUGGGUACGGGCAGACUAGAGUGCGGUAGGGGAGAUUGAAAUUCCUGGUGUAGCGGUGGAAUGCGCAGAUAUCAGGAGGAACACCGAUGGCGAAGGCAGAUCUCUGGGCAUUAACUGACGCUGAGGGGCGAAAGCAUGGGGAGCGAACAGG